CACGUAGGGGGCGAGCGUUGUCCGGAUUUAUUGGGCGUAAAGAGCUCGUAGGCGGCUUGUCGCGUCGUCCGUGAAAACCUGCAGCUCAACUGCAGGCUUGCGGUCGAUACGGGCAGGCUAGAGUUCGGUAGGGGAGACUGGAAUUCCUGGUGUAGCGGUGAAAUGCGCAGAUAUCAGGAGGAACACCAGUGGCGAAGGCGAGUCUCUGGACAUUUCCUGACGCUGAGGCACGAAAGCCAGGGGAGCAAACGGG
RNAcentral lists this ribosomal RNA (253 nucleotides) under uncultured bacterium. RNAcentral describes it as "partial 16S ribosomal RNA". It matches the Rfam family "Bacterial small subunit ribosomal RNA", at positions 524 to 776 of the family's 1533-position model. The record is from RNAcentral.